GUGUCUGCUCCCUCCCCCCACACCCCACACGCACCUAGCUGAGGCCCUUCGGGACCGGCGGAGCUGCUGCGGGGCCGGGCCGCGGCGGGAGCGGGGCCCUUCUUUGUGUCCUCGGCGUCGCUGUAGCGCCGCGCCCAGUGGUUGAGCUCCUCGCGGUCGGCCUCCUGGCACCUGCGCAGCACCGUGAGCGAGCGCCGCGUCUUCUCCACCAUGUCCAUGAUGCAGUUCAGGAGCUGGGGGCGGGCGGCGCAGCCUUCAGCACCUCAGAGGGACCGGGACGCACCAGACACUCCCCCAGCCCACUCGGCCAGAGCCCCGGACAGGAUGGGUGCCCGACCAGCCCACCGCCCGUGAGAGCUCCAGGACUGAAGCCGCAGAGGCCACUCCCACAGGUCACCAGAAACUAAGACGUGAGUGACGCCCGGCAGUGGCCGACUCUUCCGCCGUGGCUGUGCCCAUGGGAGACGUGAGUGACGCCCGGCAGUGGCCGACUCUUCUGCGGUGGCUGCGCCCACGGGAGACGUGAGUGACCCCGGCAGUGGCCGACUUCCACGGUG
Molecule: long non-coding RNA, 557 nt
Organism: Homo sapiens (human)
Lineage: Eukaryota; Metazoa; Chordata; Mammalia; Primates; Hominidae
Source: Ensembl